UACGGAGGGUGCAAGCGUUAUCCGGAAUCACUGGGUUUAAAGGGUGCGUAGGCGGCUUGAUAAGUCAGAGGUGAAAGCUAGCAGCUUAACUGUUAAAUUGCCUUUGAUACUGUCAGACUUGAAUCAAGUUGUGGUAGGCGGAAUGUGACAUGUAGCGGUGGAAUGCAUAGAUAUGUCAUAGAACACCAAUUGCGUAGGCAGCUUGCUGGGCUUGAAUUGACGCUGAGGCACGAAAGCGUGGGGAUCAAACAGGAUUAGAUACCCUGGUAGUCCACGCCCUAAACGAUGUUAACUCGAUAUUUAUUCUUCGGAGUGAGUGUCCAAGCGAAAGCGUUAAGUUAACCACCUGGGGAGUACGUUCGCAAGAAUGAA
This 372-nucleotide ribosomal RNA is filed under the name uncultured bacterium. Its description in RNAcentral is "bacterial SSU rRNA". It matches the Rfam family "Bacterial small subunit ribosomal RNA", at positions 524 to 898 of the family's 1533-position model. The record is from RNAcentral.